AGAGUACCACUCUCUGACUCUCAUAGAGAAGGUGUUGAUAUCCUUGUCCAGAGUAUCAAGCAAAAAGAUGGCCUGAAUCACCAUGUUAUCCACUCUGUUGACAUUGAACUUCACCUUCGCCCGACUAUAACUAUGCGCCAACCCCAACUGAGACAACUCCAAAUCCUUCGGCUUCAGAUCCUUGAUGAACCGAUCAAAAUGCAGACGCACGCCGCGAAGCAACUCGAGCACAAACUCGUUGCUCUGGCACGGAAUCUUCG
RNAcentral lists this unclassified non-coding RNA (260 nucleotides) under Hevea brasiliensis (rubber tree). Lineage: Eukaryota; Viridiplantae; Streptophyta; Magnoliopsida; Malpighiales; Euphorbiaceae. The record is from RNAcentral.